GUGAAUCAUCGAAUCUUUGAACGCAAAUUGCACUCUCCGGUUUUCCGGGAGAGUAUGCCUUUUUGAGGGUAAGCCUAAAAAAAAGCGACAUUGUUGCUGUGUUGUGUGUCCUUUCGUCGGGGAUGGGUUAUCUUAAAUCUCGUUUUAAGCGACUUAAAAAUUUUUUUUACGAUUCUAAGAAUGUUUCUUAGUUUUUUCUUGUACGU
RNAcentral lists this unclassified non-coding RNA (206 nucleotides) under Glomus sp. RNAcentral describes it as "partial contains 5.8S ribosomal RNA and internal transcribed spacer 2". The stretch from base 1 to 72 matches the Rfam family "5.8S ribosomal RNA", at positions 84 to 154 of the family's 154-position model. Lineage: Eukaryota; Fungi; Glomeromycota; Glomeromycetes; Glomerales; Glomeraceae. The record is from RNAcentral.